AUACUUAACCUGGCAGGGGAGAUACCAUGAUCAAGAAGGUGGUUUUCCCAGGGCGAGGCUUAUCCAUUGCACUCGGGAUGUGCUGACCUCUGCGAUUUCCCCAAAUGUGGGAAACUCGACUGCAUAAUUUGUGGUAGUGGGGGACUGUGUUCACACUUUCCCCUG
This is a small nuclear RNA of 165 nucleotides. Its record names the gene U1. It matches the Rfam family "U1 spliceosomal RNA". Rfam says of the family: U1 is a small nuclear RNA (snRNA) component of the spliceosome (involved in pre-mRNA splicing). The record is from Ensembl.